Molecule: long non-coding RNA, 1107 nt
Organism: Ostrea edulis (European flat oyster)
Lineage: Eukaryota; Metazoa; Mollusca; Bivalvia; Ostreida; Ostreidae
Exons: 3
Source: RefSeq, a predicted model, not a curated record
CACGUCAUGUGAUAAAUUAUGCCUUCUUCGUCUUACUAUCAUUGGUAUCUAUUUCCCACACUUCCUGUUAGAUAAGUUGAAGUGAAGUUAUAAAUAAUGCACCACAUUAUGUUUUGGAACAUAUCAGCCCGAAAGAAUCUUUAUAUUGGAGUUUUAGAGAGUGUAAAAAGAAGUCAUGAAAUAUCUUCUGAUAGUCUCUUUACUUGUAUUUCUGCAUAUGCCUGGCGUUAAAUGUUGUCGUCAAUACUAUACAGAAGUCGAGACGGCGUAUAUGUACGAGUGUGUCAACUGGUUUCUAGGCUUCUGCGUGAACCAUGAAUAUGUCCCACGUCAGACAGAUCGACAGUUAUCUCGAUGUUGUUCUGGAUGGACCGGCAGUAACUGUGAAACUCGUAUGUGAGCUGUUUAAUGGGAAGUUACUUGUACUUCAGAACAGUCCAUUUUUCUAUGUAUCGAGUUUUUAUCUAUUUGUAUCAUAAACAAGUACAUAUAUAUUUGUAUUUUAGAAAUCAGAUAAAUAGCCACCCGCCGAAAAAAACCUAACAGUUAUAUUUAUUUAUCCUUCUACUUAAUAUUUUGAACUUUCUGUACAAAGAGGAAAAAUCAAUUUGGCUGUGUGAUGAGGUGGCAACAAGCCAGGUUUUUAGGUUCUUUUUGUGUUCACAAUGCUGUCUUGUUGCGGUGGCCUAUGACACCCCAUCUUUUAUGUUUUUUGUGUACAUAUAGGUGUUUUGUUCACCUUUACCUGUAUAUUUUGUAUUAAGUUUUGUCACAGCAAUGACUCAACCAUAUUGUAUUUUUUCUGUACAUAUGUUUGUUUGUUCCCUUUUAACUGUAGAUCUUUGAUUAGGUUUAUCACAGCAGCAAUGACUCAGGGACAUACUGGUUUGCAUAUCAGUUGUUUAUUUUUGCUACUUUGCACUACUAGUCAAACCUUAUCUAUGUAUUUAGUCAUAUUGCAUUAUACUGUUUAUUGGGGUUGCUGCUAGUAAAAUUUGACCUUAUUUUUUAUGUACUGUCCCAAUUUUUAGUUGUGAUUUACCAUUGUUAUUUGGCUUAUUACUCUGUCAUUUAUCUAUUGAAUAAAUGACCUUUCCUAUUCCUCAA